AAUAUUCUUACUAAAAGUUAUUGAAAAGUUAAAUCCUAUAAGCUAAGUUAUUUCUCUCAAAAUGUUCUAUUUUCACUUAUGAUUACAUUAGUUAAAGACAAAUUUGUUAAUUUUCCUUUUGUUGAAUAAAUGUUAAACAUCUUAUCGUUUGAUUUGACACGUGACACGAUCUUAAGAGUUAGUAACUUGUAAACAUCUGAUCGUUUGACUUGACACGUGGCACGAUCUUAAGAGUUAGUAACUUUAAAAACCAUACUUUAUAUAAUAAGAUAUAUAUAU
Molecule: small RNA, 279 nt
Filed under: Arabidopsis thaliana (thale cress)
Lineage: Eukaryota; Viridiplantae; Streptophyta; Magnoliopsida; Brassicales; Brassicaceae
Description: ATSL011010
Source: RNAcentral